Long non-coding RNA from Anguilla anguilla (European eel), 1322 nucleotides. RefSeq lists it as uncharacterized. The transcript is spliced from 4 exons. The record is from RefSeq and is a predicted model, not a curated record. NCBI's taxonomy places the organism in Eukaryota, Metazoa, Chordata, Actinopteri, Anguilliformes, Anguillidae.
UUCCCUCUCACACAAAAACAGCUACUUUUCGUUUAGUCUACGGGGCAGUUUAUUUAGUCGUAUGAGCUGGUUACACAAAAGCAGAGACGGUUUGUGGUACAAAGUACAGUAGUAACGUAGCCCACACGAGUUUGGUGCCUCCGUCCGGAGGAAUUUGGCGUUUGGGACCAUUUCCCGACAGCCUCUGCGCUGUUGUCCUUCGGAGAAGGCACUGCUGUAGCCAGAGCCAUUAUGGCUCUGGCCGUAGCUGGUUGAUACUCUGUUUCCUGACUCCAGGGCAUCAUGGCGGCCCUCAGACCUCUAAUUAAGCCGAAGAUCGUAAAGAAAAGGACGAAGAAGUUCAUCCGACAUCAGUCAGAUCGUUAUGUCAAAAUAAAGCACCUUGGUCCAUGAGGAACGAUAUUUUGUUCCCGUAUACUGUGUAUAAACAAACUUGAAACUUGAAAGCAAGAAGACGAAGACAUGCUUUCUUCUGGUUUCAGAAAGUUUCUUGUGCACAACAUCAAAGAGCUGGAGGUUCUUAUGAUGAGCAACAGGAGGCACUGCGCAGAAAUUGCUCACAAUGUUUCUUCUAAGAACAGGAAGCAGAUUGUGGGGAGGGCGGCACAGCUGGCCAUCAAAAUCACCAACCCCAAUGCCAGACUGCGCAGUGAAGACAGCGAGUGAUCUUUCCCUCCUCUGUACAGUGUAAUUAUUUUUUUAUACAUUUUUAAAAAUGUAAAAACAAACCUGUUUUUUUUUUUGUUUUGUUUUUUGAACAAGCUGAUGGGAAUAUUAUUAUUAUUAUCGUCCUUAAUGUUGUAGCUUGUACUGCCCCCUAGUUUAACUUAGCAUGGGUUAGGUCAGAAUAAUGUUCCCUGUGUGAACUGGACUUUGUGUUCUUGGCUAUAAAAAAAACUCUACAAAAUGAGUAUUGUACCUUAUCAAACCUGUGUUUUGUAGUUGUUCCAAUGUGACCUUGAUAUGCACUUUUAUACGUCGCUUUGGAUAAAAUUGUCUGCUAAAUAAAUGUAACGUAAUGGAAUAUGUGAUAGCUGGCCAAGGAAACAGAAGCUACUUGGCUACAAAAACAACUAAAGCUGGAUAAAGCUGUUACUUUGGCUGAAUUCUAAGACUUGAUUAAAAACAAUAGCUGAGGGGUAUGCAUGUGUUUUGGUGCCGCUGAGUUUUAUCCCUCAGUUUUGUAUUGUUUGAAUGGUCUUGUAUUGUCUUUCUUAUUGUAUUGCUCGCUGAUGCUUGGCCAGUACACCUUUGUAAAAGAGACUUUGCUCUGCUGGCAAACAAACAAUAAACGAAAUGAUUUUUCAUGCAGGAAAAAUCAA